Molecule: long non-coding RNA, 518 nt
Organism: Schistocerca piceifrons (Central American locust)
Lineage: Eukaryota; Metazoa; Arthropoda; Insecta; Orthoptera; Acrididae
Exons: 3
Source: RefSeq, a predicted model, not a curated record
GCAGUGUCAAACAACUCACGUGGCAGACAUGGGAGAGCAAACAACUGCUCAGCUGCUUGAGCAGUGAUAGCAGAUGUUGAUGAAAUGUAUUUGUAGUAUGUCAGCUGAACCAGUACUGAGGUUACAAUAAUGCAAGGAAAGAGUGUUUGGAACAUGUAGCAACAAAAGUGGCCGAAGUCUUGCAAGGCAUUACCGCUGAUGACUGCAAGGCCAAAUUCUCAACUUUGUGGUCUCACUAUGGCGCUGAACUGAAGAAAAUAGGCCAGAGCGAGAGCAUUGGCUCAUCCGGUGCCGUAUACAGGCCGAGAGUCUGGUAGUUUGAUGUUUUACAUUUCCUGAAAGACUUCAUUUCACCACGCGAAAGCCGGUGUAACAUUCCGAACAGUGUUGUCUAUGGGAAGCACGUACAUUGAUCACACAACAGCUUCAGUAAAAUCAAGACUUAAAAGUGAUACUGUGACACUUGUUGAUGGCAAUACCUGCAAGCUCAUAGGACAGUUUGAUGAUGUACAUAAUUG